GGACGAAAAAAGACGGUACCUGAGGAGGAAGCUCCGGCUAACUACGUGCCAGCAGCCGCGGUAAUACGUAGGGAGCGAGCGUUGUCCGGAAUUACUGGGUGUAAAGGGAGCGUAGGCGGGAUCGCAAGUCAGAUGUGAAAACUAUGGGCUUAACCCAUAAACUGCAUUUGAAACUGUGGUUCUUGAGUGAAGUAGAGGUAAGCGGAAUUCCUAGUGUAGCGGUGAAAUGCGUAGAUAUUAGGAGGAACAUCAGUGGCGAAGGCGGCUUACUGGGCUUUAACUGACGCUGAGGCUCGAAAGCGUGGGGAGCAAACAGGAUUAGAUACCCUGGUAGUCCACGCCCGUAAACGAUGAUUACUAGGGGGGGGGGGACUGACCCCUUCCGUGCCGCAGCAAACGCAAUAAGUAAUCCACCUGGGGAGUACGACCGCAAGGUUGAAACUCAAAGGAAUUGACGGGGGCCCGCACAAGCAGUGGAGUAUGUGGAUUAAUUCGAAGCAACGCGAAGAACCUUACCAGGUCUUGACAUCGUAUGCAUAGCUCAGAGAUGAGUGAAAUCUCUUCGGAGACAUAUAGACAGGUGGUGCAUGGUUGUCGUCAGCUCGUGUCGUGAGAUGUUGGGUUAAGUCCCGCAACGAGCGCAACCCUUACUGUUAGUUGCUACGCAAGAGCACUCUAGCAGGACUGCCGUUGACAAAACGGAGGAAGGUGGGGAUGACGUCAAAUCAUCAUGCCCCUUAUGACCUGGGCCUCACACGUACUACAAUGGCUGUCAACAGAGGGAAGCAAAGCCGCGAGGUGGAGCAAACCCCUAAAAGCAGUCUUAGUUCGGAUUGUAGGCUGCGACCCGCCUACAUGAAGUCGGAAUUGCUAGUAAUCGCAGAUCAGCAUGCUGCGGUGAAUACGUUCCCGGGCCUUGCACU
This 923-nucleotide ribosomal RNA is filed under the name uncultured bacterium. Its description in RNAcentral is "bacterial SSU rRNA". It matches the Rfam family "Bacterial small subunit ribosomal RNA", at positions 443 to 1387 of the family's 1533-position model. The record is from RNAcentral.